RNAcentral lists this transfer RNA (77 nucleotides) under Cardinium endosymbiont of Sogatella furcifera. Its description in RNAcentral is "tRNA-Arg". It matches the Rfam family "tRNA". From Rfam's summary of the family: Transfer RNA (tRNA) molecules are approximately 80 nucleotides in length. Their secondary structure includes four short double-helical elements and three loops (D, anti-codon, and T loops). Lineage: Bacteria; Pseudomonadati; Bacteroidota; Cytophagia; Cytophagales; Amoebophilaceae. The record is from RNAcentral. RNAcentral also lists the same sequence under 1 other name.
GGACUUGUAGCUCAACUGGAUAGAGCACUGCACUACGGAUGCAGCGGUUAGGGGUUCGAAUCCCUUCAAGUCCACAA